Molecule: small nuclear RNA, 107 nt
Filed under: Dipodomys ordii (Ord's kangaroo rat)
Lineage: Eukaryota; Metazoa; Chordata; Mammalia; Rodentia; Heteromyidae
Source: RNAcentral
GUGCUGGCUUCAGCAGCAUAUAUUGCAAAGCUGGAACCGUGCCGAGAAGAUUAGCAUUGCCCAUGAGUGAAGAUAACAUACAAAUCAGAACGUUCCUCUCAUUAAAU